GAGUAACGCGUAGGUAACCUGCCUGGUAGCGGGGGAUAACUAUUGGAAACGAUAGCUAAUACCGCAUAAGAGUAGAUGUUGCAUGACAUUUGCUUAAAAGGUGCAAUUGCAUCACUACCAGAUGGACCUGCGUUGUAUUAGCUAGUUGGUGGGGUAACGGCUCACCAAGGCGACGAUACAUAGCCGACCUGAGAGGGUGAUCGGCCACACUGGGACUGAGACACGGCCCAGACUCCUACGGGAGGCAGCAGUAGGGAAUCUUCGGCAAUGGACGGAAGUCUGACCGAGCAACGCCGCGUGAGUGAAGAAGGUUUUCGGAUCGUAAAGCUCUGUUGUAAGAGAAGAACGAGUGUGAGAGUGGAAAGUUCACACUGUGACGGUAUCUUACCAGAAAGGGACGGCUAACUACGUGCCAGCAGCCGCGGUAAUACGUAGGUCCCGAGCGUUGUCCGGAUUUAUUGGGCGUAAAGCGAGCGCAGGCGGUUAGAUAAGUCUGAAGUUAAAGGCUGUGGCUUAACCAUAGUACGCUUUGGAAACUGUUUAACUUGAGUGCAAGAGGGGAGAGUGGAAUUCCAUGUGUAGCGGUGAAAUGCGUAGAUAUAUGGAGGAACACCGGUGGCGA
RNAcentral lists this ribosomal RNA (622 nucleotides) under uncultured Bacilli bacterium. Its description in RNAcentral is "bacterial SSU rRNA". It matches the Rfam family "Bacterial small subunit ribosomal RNA", at positions 108 to 718 of the family's 1533-position model. The record is from RNAcentral. Lineage: Bacteria; Bacillati; Bacillota; Bacilli.